RNAcentral lists this ribosomal RNA (806 nucleotides) under uncultured Pleurocapsa sp. Its description in RNAcentral is "bacterial SSU rRNA". It matches the Rfam family "Bacterial small subunit ribosomal RNA", at positions 304 to 1121 of the family's 1533-position model. Lineage: Bacteria; Bacillati; Cyanobacteriota; Cyanophyceae; Pleurocapsales; Pleurocapsaceae. The record is from RNAcentral.
GCAACCACACUGGGACUGAGACGCGGCCCAGACUCCUACGGGAGGCAGCAGUGGGGAAUUUUCCGCAAUGGGCGAAAGCCUGACGGAGCAACGCCGCGUGAGGGAGGAAGGCUCUUGGGUUGUAAACCUCUUUUCUCAAGGAAGAAGCAAGUGACGGUACUUGAGGAAUCAGCCUCGGCUAACUCCGUGCCAGCAGCCGCGGUAAUACGGAGGAGGCAAGCGUUAUCCGGAAUUAUUGGGCGUAAAGAGUCCGUAGGUGGCCAUUCAAGUCUGCUGUCAAAGCGUGGAGCUUAACUCCAUUCCGGCAGUGGAAACUGAGUAGCUAGAGUUCGGUAGGGGUAGCAGGAAUUCCCAGUGUAGCGGUGAAAUGCGUAGAGAUCGGGAAGAACAUCGGUGGCGAAAGCGCGCUACUGGGCCGAAACUGACACUGAGGGACGAAAGCUAGGGGAGCGAAAGGGAUUAGAUACCCCUGUAGUCCUAGCCGUAAACGAUGGAAACUAGGCGUGGCUUGUAUCGACCCGAGCCGUGCCGAAGCUAACGCGUUAAGUUUCCCGCCUGGGGAGUACGCACGCAAGUGUGAAACUCAAGGAAUUGACGGGGGCCCGCACAAGCGGUGGAGUAUGUGGUUUAUUCGAUGCAACGCGAAGAACCUUACCAGGGCUUGACAUGUCCAGAACUUUCCUGAAAGGGAAGGGUGCCUUCGGGGAGCUGGAACACAGGUGGGUGCAUGGCUGUCGUCAGCUCGUGUCGAUGAGAUGUUGGGUUAAGUCCCGCAACGAGCGCCACCCCUCGUUCUUAGUCGCCAU